AUGUAACAACCAGAUUAUGAAGGAAUUAGUCUAAAAAUACUGAGCACAACUUCAAAAUGACAGUACAAAAUAUAUGACCCAACAAAGCAACACUUGAAUGUUGUUCAAAACUGACAUCAUUUCCCUUAAGGUAAUUGACUCCAAGUAGUUCAUUUGGAAUCUUACUUCAGCACUUUCAGAUUUUGCGUAUAUCAAAUAUACGGUUCUGCUUAUCUGCAAGUUCAAAA
This 227-nucleotide unclassified non-coding RNA is filed under the name Hevea brasiliensis (rubber tree). The record is from RNAcentral. Lineage: Eukaryota; Viridiplantae; Streptophyta; Magnoliopsida; Malpighiales; Euphorbiaceae.